Molecule: ribosomal RNA, 454 nt
Filed under: Mitsuokella sp. oral taxon H33
Lineage: Bacteria; Bacillati; Bacillota; Negativicutes; Selenomonadales; Selenomonadaceae
Description: bacterial SSU rRNA
Rfam family: Bacterial small subunit ribosomal RNA
Source: RNAcentral
GACGAACGCGGGCGGGGUGCUUAACACAUGCAAGUCGAACGAGACGGAUUGGGGGGUUGCUCCUGACAAGUCGAGUGGCAAACGGGUGAGUAACGCGUAGACAACCUGCGGCAAAGAUGGGGAAGGGCCCGAAAGGGGUGCUAAUACCGAAUGUGGGGACUCCCGCAUGGGAGGGGGGCCAAAGAUGGCCUCUGCCUGCAAGCAUCGCUUUGCGAUGGGUCUGGGGCUGAUUGGCCAGGGGCGGGGCAACGGCCCACCAAGGCGACGAUCAGUAGCCGGUCUGAGAGGAUGGACGGCCACAUUGGGAUGAGACACGGCCAGCUCCUACGGGAGGCAGCAGUGGGGAAUUUCGCAAUGGGCGAAAGCCUGAGGAGAACGCCGCGUGGGGAAGAAGGUUUCGGAUCGUAAAGCCCUGUGCCCGGGACGAAGAGCGGGCGAACAGCGCCGGGGGGGA